CAGGCCUAACACAUGCAAGUCGAACGUGAAGCCGGACUUCGGUCCGGGGGAAAGUGGCGCACGGGUGAGUAACGCGUGGGAAUCUACCCAGCAGUACGGAAUAACUCCGGGAAACCGGUGCUAAUACCGCAUACGCCCCGAGGGGGAAAGAUUUAUCGCUGUUGAGAUGAGCCCGCGUCGGAUUAGCUUGUUGGUGGGGUAAUGGCCCACCAAGGCUCCGAUCCGUAGCUGGUCUGAGAGGAUGAUCAGCCACACUGGGACUGAGACACGGCCCAGACUCCUACGGGAGGCAGCAGUGGGGAAUAUUGGACAAUGGGCGAAAGCCUGAUCCAGCCAUGCCGCGUGAGUGAAGAAGGCCCUAGGGUUGUAAAGCUCUUUCAGCGGGGAAGAUAAUGACGGUACCCGCAGAAGAAGCCCCGGCCAACUCCGUGCCAGCAGCCGCGGUAAGACGGAGGGGGCUAGCGUUGCUCGGAAUUACUGGGCGUAAAGCGCGCGUAGGCGGUACGGCAAGUUGGGCGUGAAAGCCCAGGGCUCAACCCUGGAAUUGCGCUCAAAACUGCCGCACUGGAGUCCGGGAGAGGAGAGUGGAAUUCCCAGUGUAGAGGUGAAAUUCGUA
This 616-nucleotide ribosomal RNA is filed under the name uncultured bacterium. RNAcentral describes it as "bacterial SSU rRNA". It matches the Rfam family "Bacterial small subunit ribosomal RNA", at positions 43 to 692 of the family's 1533-position model. The record is from RNAcentral.